CUGCCAAGAGGGUAAGAUAAAGACUGAGAAUGGCCGAUGGGUUUGACAAGGUAGAGGUGGGUAAGGACUUUACAAGAGCUGCUUAAAUUGAGUCUUGGUGAUGAGUCCAAUUGGAGCAGACAGUGGAGACCAGCUGAGUCUAGCUCUUUCAUGAAGUUUUGUUCUCAACGGAAGCAGAAAAAUCACCAAAAACUUUCAGAGGAAUAUGAAGACAGGCUAAAGGGAGCACUCAAGGGAGCACUCAGCCUUCCUCAUCCAAGGCGCAGCCAGCUGAUGUGGACUGUGCCCAUCUCCAGCACCGCCACGCAUCCUACCCUACUGAAGCUACACUAAUGAGAGGUAUACGUGCUUCUUUCACUAAGGAAUCAGACAAGCAUCUCAAAGCAAACCAGAGAAAGAAGACUGGGAACUGGGGCUCUAUUUCUAGCCCAUUUACUCAGAGAAACUCAAGGAAAAUCCAAGAGCUCCUGCAGGCUUCAAAAGGAUGGAUGAGCUCAGAGCUGUAAUUGUGUGAAGAAAAACAGUAUAGAGCUUGAUUUUGGUUGGUUCUCCAGAAGUGAAAUAAGAGAUUGAAUAUAAAAGCACAUCGUGAGCAGCUCAGAUACAAAAAGAGAACUAUGACCCACCAUCUGCAGCAACCACCAACACGUGGUCUACAGCAACCAGCCCUGGAAGCCAGACUUGCAAGAGGUCAGAUCACCAGCUCCAGCCACCAACCCAAGAAACCAAACAGCAACUCCUGUAACAAUUAGCCCAAAUAGCCACAAUUUGAUUAAUAACUGAUAUAUCCCUUAAUUUUUGUCCCCCUUCUACCUUGGGACCAGCCACAAAAAGCCAAACAUGUAACCCAAACCAAUCACAUAGGCUGCCCUGCUUCUAGUCAGCCCACCCAAGCUUCCCCAGGCCAACAGUCUCAAUUCAGGGAAUAUUGGGUGUAUUUGAAGCUUUAUUUUUAUCACUGUAAAUUUUCCCACUCCUCUGCCUACCUUUGACUUUCUGCCAAAAUGGAAGAGAUGAUAGCUGACUUCCAUAAGCUCUGAAUAAAUAGCCUUUGCUUGUU
Long non-coding RNA from Bubalus bubalis (water buffalo), 1060 nucleotides. RefSeq lists it as uncharacterized. The record is from RefSeq and is a predicted model, not a curated record. Lineage: Eukaryota; Metazoa; Chordata; Mammalia; Artiodactyla; Bovidae. The transcript has 3 exons.